AGGCAUUGUUUGUUAUUGAGAAAAACCACUUGGCCAAAAAGUUUUGAAUCAACUAACCUUGUGAGGAGUGAUCCUUAGUUUAACCCCUUUGAGCUUAUUUUAGGAUUCAUUUGAUUGAUAAGUGCAAAUUCCAUUGAAAAUAUUGCGAAUAAAUGAAUCCUAAUUUCUUUCGUUUCAAUUGAACCUUCAACCGAAUUUGGUUGCAAUUUUUGUCCUUUGCCUAUGUCUAAGUAGGGAGCAUUAUUGCAUUAAUUUUAUCUUGAAGUCUAAAGUUGGGAAGAGUAAAUUAGAAGAGUUGAUAAAAAAACUUGGAAAAGUGAUGUUUUAGAAAAGGUGAAAGUGUGAAAAGAAACAAGAAAACUAAGUCACCUUUGAAAUUAUGGAGCAAAGAAAAAGAAAAGAAAGAAAAAACAAAAAGAGAGCUCAUGGUUGUGUGGAUGUUGAAAAAUAAGAAAAAAAGAAAAAUUGGGAUCAAAAAUGGAAUUUGUUGUUGAGUUUGAAUUUAUGGGAAUGCUCCCUUGGGAUAUGCAUUUUUGUUUGAAU
RNAcentral lists this long non-coding RNA (543 nucleotides) under Lathyrus oleraceus (garden pea). Its description in RNAcentral is "Pisum sativum (pea) long non-coding RNA (PSAT_LNC035104)". Lineage: Eukaryota; Viridiplantae; Streptophyta; Magnoliopsida; Fabales; Fabaceae. The record is from RNAcentral.